RNAcentral lists this ribosomal RNA (629 nucleotides) under uncultured bacterium. RNAcentral describes it as "bacterial SSU rRNA". It matches the Rfam family "Bacterial small subunit ribosomal RNA", at positions 232 to 872 of the family's 1533-position model. The record is from RNAcentral.
CGCGGCCUAUCAGCUUGUUGGUGAGGUAAUGGCUCACCAAGGCGACGACGGGUAGCCGGCCUGAGAGGGCGACCAGCCACACUGGGACUGAGGCACGGCCCAGACUCCUACGGGAGGCAGCAGUGGGGAAUAUUGCACAAUGGGCGAAAGCCUGAUGCAGCGACGCCGCGUGAGGGAUGACGGCCUUCGGGUUGUAAACCUCUUUCGGCAGGGAAGAAGCGAAAGUGACGGUACCUGCAGAAGAAGCGCCGGCUAACUACGUGCCAGCAGCCGCGGUAAUACGUAGGGCGCAAGCGUUGUCCGGAAUUAUUGGGCGUAAAGAGCUCGUAGGCGGCUUGUCACGUCGGGUGUGAAAGCCCGGGGCUUAACCCCGGGUCUGCAUUCGAUACGGGCUAGCUAGAGUGUGGUAGGGGAGAUCGGAAUUCCUGGUGUAGCGGUGAAAUGCGCAGAUAUCAGGAGGAACACCGGUGGCGAAGGCGGAUCUCUGGGCCAUUACUGACGCUGAGGAGCGAAAGCGUGGGGAGCGAACAGGAUUAGAUACCCUGGUAGUCCACGCCGUAAACGGUGGGAACUAGGUGUUGGCGACAUUCCACGUCGUCGGUGCCGCAGCUAACGCAUUAAGUCCCCGC